AUUGAACGCUGGCGGCAUGCCUAACACAUGCAAGUCGAACGGUAACACCCCGCAAGGUGGCGCCGAGUGGCGUACGGUGUAGUAAUGCUUCGUAACGUUCCCAAUCCUUCUUCUUAACUGGUCAUAAUAUUGGCUAAUUUCCCCUACCAUCUCAUUCUUCCCCCUGGGGACCGCACGGGUUCGCUCGACUUUGUGCGACGGUAUCAGCCUAGGUAGUUGGAGGUGUAUAGCUGGACCAAGGCCACGAUCUGUAACUGGUCUGAGAGGACAAACAGCCACACUGGAACUGAGAAAGGGCCCAGACUCCUACGGGAGGCAGCAGUGGGGAAUAUUGGACAAUGGGCGAAAGCCUGAUCCAGCAAUGCCGCGGGAAGGAAGAAGGCCUUAGGGUUGUAAAGUGCUUUUGUACGGAAAGAAAAGAAGCUGGUUAAUACCCGGUGAUAAUGACGGUACCGGAAGAAUAAGCACCGGCUAACUACGUG
RNAcentral lists this ribosomal RNA (482 nucleotides) under uncultured bacterium. Its description in RNAcentral is "partial 16S ribosomal RNA". It matches the Rfam family "Bacterial small subunit ribosomal RNA", at positions 30 to 507 of the family's 1533-position model. The record is from RNAcentral.